This 208-nucleotide long non-coding RNA is filed under the name Elaeis guineensis (African oil palm). RNAcentral's name for it is "long non-coding RNA (EGUI_LNC043348)". Lineage: Eukaryota; Viridiplantae; Streptophyta; Magnoliopsida; Arecales; Arecaceae. The record is from RNAcentral.
GUGUAAUGGGAUUCAAUAAAUUAGAAGAGUUCCAAACAACCGAUUAUUGUAGAUUUUCAAAGUUGAAUAUGUCGCUGCUUAUGAGGUAACUAAAAGAAUAUUCUGAUUUAUUGCAGAACUAGAUAUAAUGUCAUGAGAUGACACAAUACUAUUCUUAAGUAAUGAUGGUGCCAUAGAUCUAGCUAAGGAGCCAAGGUCUCACCAGAGC